UUAAAAAUCAAGUGUCACCGAUGACGGUUUCUUUGAAAAGUACCAGUAUUCCCUAUGACGUUAAAAAUGAUACUAGUAAAAAUAAUACU
This 89-nucleotide non-coding RNA is filed under the name Aureoumbra lagunensis. Lineage: Eukaryota; Pelagophyceae; Sarcinochrysidales; Sarcinochrysidaceae. The record is from RNAcentral.